GAUGAACGCUGGCGGCGUGCUUAACACAUGCAAGUCGAGCGAAGCGCUUACGACAGAACCUUCGGGGAAAGACGUAAGGGACUGAGCGGCGGACGGGUGAGUAACGCGUGGGUAACCUGCCUCAUACAGGGGGAUAACAGUUGGAAACGGCUGCUAAUACCGCAUAAGCGCACAGUAUCGCAUGAUACAGUGUGAAAAACUCCGGUGGUAUGAGAUGGACCCGCGUCUGAUUAGCUAGUUGGAGGGGUAACGGCCCACCAAGGCGACGAUCAGUAGCCGGCCUGAGAGGGUGAACGGCCACAUUGGGACUGAGACACGGCCCAGACUCCUACGGGAGGCAGCAGUGGGGAAUAUUGCACAAUGGGGGAAACCCUGAUGCAGCGACGCCGCGUGAAGGAAGAAGUAUCUCGGUAUGUAAACUUCUAUCAGCAGGGAAGAAAAUGACGGUACCUGACUAAGAAGCCCCGGCUAACUACGUGCCAGCAGCCGCGGUAAUACGUAGGGGGCAAGCGUUAUCCGGAUUUACUGGGUGUAAAGGGAGCGUAGACGGAAGAGCAAGUCUGAUGUGAAAGGCUGGGGCUUAACCCCCAGGACUGCAUUGGAAACUGUUUUUCUUGAGUGCCGGAGAGGUAAGCGGAAUUCCUAGUGUAGCGGUGAAAUGCGUAGAUAUUAGGAGGAACACCAGUGGCGAAGGCGGCUUACUGGACGGUAACUGACGUUGAGGCUCGAAAGCGUGGGGAGCAAACAGAAUUAGAUACCCUGGUAGUCCACGCCGUAAACGA
This 782-nucleotide ribosomal RNA is filed under the name uncultured bacterium. RNAcentral's name for it is "bacterial SSU rRNA". It matches the Rfam family "Bacterial small subunit ribosomal RNA", at positions 28 to 809 of the family's 1533-position model. The record is from RNAcentral.